UCCAAGGAAACCACACUGGGGACACUGCAGAAAGGACAGCUCGAUCAGGUGCUCAAGGAAGAAGGCGUGGAUCCGAUUUGGGGUGCUCCUGACACUUUCUAGAUGUGUUACUUUGCUUCUGUCCACUUCAAUUUCCUCUCUAACAAAAUGGAGAUAAUGACAGUGUUCACCUCCUAGGAAAUGAGAAUUAAAGGAGUUUGUCAACUCAAUGAACUAACUUCUUCUUCUUGUGGAAUGCCUCUACGUGCCCAGCACUGCGCAGACACAUAUGGAGCCAAAUAUUCCUACAAGACCAUUUAUCAGCCAGAAAACGUAUUCGAACAAUGUUAUAUUGUUGGGUUUCUGGGUCAACCCCACAGAAGUUUUAUAAUGUCACUGAAAAGCUAUAUAGUUGCACUAGAGAAGAAAAAAAAAAAAAAAA
Molecule: long non-coding RNA, 421 nt
Organism: Hyaena hyaena (striped hyena)
Lineage: Eukaryota; Metazoa; Chordata; Mammalia; Carnivora; Hyaenidae
Exons: 2
Source: RefSeq, a predicted model, not a curated record